GAUCAUGGCUCAGAACGAACGCUGGCGGCAUGCCUAACACAUGCAAGUCGAACGAGACCUUCGGGUCUAGUGGCGCACGGGUGCGUAACGCGUGGGAAUCUGCCCUUGGGUUCGGAAUAACACUUAGAAAUUUGAGCUAAUACCGAAUGAUGACGAAAGUUCAAAGAUUUAUCGCCCAGGGAUGAGCCCGCGUAGGAUUAGCUAGUUGGUGAGGUAAAGGCUCACCAAGGCAACGAUCCUUAGCUGGUCUGAGAGGAUGAUCAGCCACACUGGGACUGAGACACGGCCCAGACUCCUACGGGAGGCAGCAGUGGGGAAUAUUGGACAAUGGGCGAAAGCCUGAUCCAGCAAUGCCGCGUGAGUGAUGAAGGCCUUAGGGUUGUAAAGCUCUUUUACCCGGGAUGAUAAUGACUGUACCGGGAGAAUAAGCCCCGGCUAACUCCGUGCCAGCAGCCGCGGUAAU
RNAcentral lists this ribosomal RNA (463 nucleotides) under uncultured Sphingomonas sp. RNAcentral's name for it is "bacterial SSU rRNA". It matches the Rfam family "Bacterial small subunit ribosomal RNA", at positions 15 to 524 of the family's 1533-position model. The record is from RNAcentral. Lineage: Bacteria; Pseudomonadati; Pseudomonadota; Alphaproteobacteria; Sphingomonadales; Sphingomonadaceae.